RNAcentral lists this ribosomal RNA (1412 nucleotides) under Vibrio parahaemolyticus. RNAcentral's name for it is "partial 23S ribosomal RNA". It matches the Rfam family "Bacterial large subunit ribosomal RNA", at positions 176 to 1640 of the family's 2925-position model. The record is from RNAcentral. Lineage: Bacteria; Pseudomonadati; Pseudomonadota; Gammaproteobacteria; Vibrionales; Vibrionaceae.
GAGGCGAACCGGGGGAACUGAAACAUCUAAGUACCCCGAGGAAAAGAAAUCAACCGAGAUUCCGAAAGUAGCGGCGAGCGAAAUUGGACUAGCCCUUAAGCUUUACACGCGUUAGACGAACGGUCUGGAAAGUCCGACGAUACAGGGUGAUAGUCCCGUAGUUGACGACGUGUGUUCAGUGAAAUCGAGUAGGGCGGGACACGUGAUAUCCUGUCUGAAUAUGGGGGGACCAUCCUCCAAGGCUAAAUACUACUGACUGACCGAUAGUGAACCAGUACCGUGAGGGAAAGGCGAAAAGAACCCCUGUGAGGGGAGUGAAAUAGAACCUGAAACCGUGUACGUACAAGCAGUAGGAGCAGGCUUUGUCCUGUGACUGCGUACCUUUUGUAUAAUGGGUCAGCGACUUAUAUUCAGUGGCAAGGUUAACCAUCUAGGGGAGCCGUAGGGAAACCGAGUCUUAACUGGGCGUUCAGUCUCUGGAUAUAGACCCGAAACCAGGUGAUCUAGCCAUGGGCAGGUUGAAGGUUGAGUAACAUCAACUGGAGGACCGAACCGACUAAUGUUGAAAAAUUAGCGGAUGACUUGUGGCUAGGGGUGAAAGGCCAAUCAAACCUGGAGAUAGCUGGUUCUCCCCGAAAGCUAUUUAGGUAGCGCCUCGGACGAAUACUACUGGGGGUAGAGCACUGUUAAGGCUAGGGGGUCAUCCCGACUUACCAACCCUUUGCAAACUCCGAAUACCAGUAAGUACUAUCCGGGAGACACACGGCGGGUGCUAACGUCCGUCGUGGAGAGGGAAACAACCCAGACCGCCAGCUAAGGUCCCAAAUUACUACUAAGUGGGAAACGAUGUGGGAAGGCUCAGACAGCCAGGAUGUUGGCUUAGAAGCAGCCAUCAUUUAAAGAAAGCGUAAUAGCUCACUGGUCGAGUCGGCCUGCGCGGAAGAUGUAACGGGGCUAAGUAGUAAACCGAAGCUGCGGCAAUAUACUUUUGUAUAUUGGGUAGGGGAGCGUUCUGUAAGCGGUUGAAGGUGUGUGGUAACGCAUGCUGGACGUAUCAGAAGUGCGAAUGCUGACAUGAGUAACGAUAAAGGGGGUGAAAAACCUCCUCGCCGGAAGACCAAGGGUUCCUGUCCAACGUUAAUCGGGGCAGGGUAAGUCGACCCCUAAGGCGAGGCCGAAAGGCGUAGUCGAUGGGAAACGGGUUAAUAUUCCCGUACUUCUUACAAUUGCGAUGGGGGGACGGAGAAGGCUAGGUGGGCCUGGCGACGGUUGUCCAGGUUCAAGUGCGUAGGCUUAAGAGUUAGGUAAAUCCGGCUCUUUCUAAGGCUGAGACACGACGUCGAGCAUCUACGGAUGUGAAGUCAUUGAUGCCAUGCUUCCAGGAAAAGCCUCUAAGCUUCAGAUUGUAAGGA